Molecule: non-coding RNA, 253 nt
Organism: Salvelinus sp. IW2-2015
Lineage: Eukaryota; Metazoa; Chordata; Actinopteri; Salmoniformes; Salmonidae
Source: RefSeq, a predicted model, not a curated record
UUAGUUUGACAAGUUUCUUCGACUUGUAAUAUAACUUUUUGAACGUUUCGUCCGAAUGGACCAGUCAAACCUCUGACCCACAGAAAUUGUGAUGCAGUGAGUUAUAAUCUUGGGAGUCGGAGUGACCAGCCAGUAACCAGUAUGCAGUACAUGGAUACAGCCAACUGUGCUUCCUCAGAUCCCUGACCAUUAAGGAAAGAGCAGAAAGACACAGCAGUGAAAUCAACACAAACUACUACAUCAACAAUCACCU